AACUAGCCCCGAUAGUAGUGAAAAUCCUCUAGUGCUGGGGUUCAGCACUAGAGAUUGUAGCGAAUAGCGGGACAAAAA
This 78-nucleotide small RNA is filed under the name Flavobacterium crassostreae. RNAcentral's name for it is "Flavo-1 RNA". It matches the Rfam family "Flavo-1 RNA". Lineage: Bacteria; Pseudomonadati; Bacteroidota; Flavobacteriia; Flavobacteriales; Flavobacteriaceae. The record is from Rfam by way of RNAcentral.